RNAcentral lists this ribosomal RNA (497 nucleotides) under uncultured bacterium. RNAcentral's name for it is "partial 16S ribosomal RNA". It matches the Rfam family "Bacterial small subunit ribosomal RNA", at positions 28 to 507 of the family's 1533-position model. The record is from RNAcentral.
GAUGAACGCUGGCGGCGUGCCUAAUACAUGCAAGUCGAGCGAACAGACGAGGAGCUUGCUCCUCUGACGUUAGCGGCGGACGGGUGAGUAACACGUGGAUAACCUACCUAUAAGACUGGGAUAACUUCGGGAAACCGGAGCUAAUACCGGAUAAUAUAUUGAACCGCAUGGUUCAAUAGUGAAAGACGGUUUUGCUGUCACUUAUAGAUGGAUCCGCGCCGCAUUAGCUAGUUGGUAAGGUAACGGCUUACCAAGGCGACGAUGCGUAGCCGGCCUGAGAGGGUGAUCGGCCACACUGGAACUGAGACACGGUCCAGACUCCUACGGGAGGCAGCAGUAGGGAAUCUUCCGCAAUGGGCGAAAGCCUGACGGAGCAACGCCGCGUGAGUGAUGAAGGUCUUCGGAUCGUAAAACUCUGUUAAUAGGGAAGAACAAAUGUGUAAGUAACUAUGCACGUCUUGACGGUACCUAAUCAGAAAGCCACGGCUAACUACGUG